GGCUGGGUAGCUCAGUGGUAGAGCGAGGCCCUCAUAAAGCUUAGGCGUGGGUUCGAUUCCCUCCCCAGCCA
Molecule: transfer RNA, 71 nt
Filed under: Minisyncoccota bacterium
Lineage: Bacteria; Bacillati; Minisyncoccota
Description: tRNA-Met
Rfam family: tRNA
About the family: Transfer RNA (tRNA) molecules are approximately 80 nucleotides in length. Their secondary structure includes four short double-helical elements and three loops (D, anti-codon, and T loops).
Source: RNAcentral